AUCCUGCUGCCUCAGCCUCCCAAAGUGCUGGAUUACAAGCAUGAGCCACUGUGCCCAGCCUUAAGUUUUUUUCAUACAGGAGGAAAGAAUUUGGAAAAUAAACACAAUCUGGGAAACAUUUUAUAAUACAGAGGGCCACACCAGAUUGAAUAUUGCCCCCAGGAAUGAAAUGAAAACAGGAAUGGAUUCUCCAGUAAGAGGGUAUCACAGGGCGUCAAACUGGAAAAUGUGGCACUGCCUGGAGUUUCUACCUGGUGAAGGGUGGCAGACUUUUCUCUUCAGAGGACUCUUGACAGGGUAGCAUCCAUUAUCUUGCCAAUUUACUACAACCUAGGCCCAAUCCUCAGUCUUAUAGGUUCAGAAAUUUAUUUUUAUCAGCAUCAACAGGGUAGCUACAUUGCUUAGAAGCAAACAAAAUUAACCAUGCUUCAAUAGAAAUCAGGAUAUAGAUGUAUUAAUACAGAAUGACAAAUAUAACUGUGACAGAAAUAGGAAUGCCUGUUUAUGGUCAUAUACAGCCAAUACUUUCAUUACAGCCAAACUCAUACAUGCAGCCAAAUAAGAGGCCCCUGGAUACACAGGGAAUCAGAAUAAAAAAAGAAGAACUGAACAUUUAAUAGUCUUCUUUCAUUCAAUCAAUAAUUUUUUUUAAUUAAGCAACUACUAUGUCCGGGUAACCUUCUAGGUCCUGGGGAUACAGAGGUCUCUGCUUACAGAAGUCAUAUGUAAGUAGCAGGUGAAGAGUAUGUGUUUCACAGAAGUUUAUUACAAUAUAUUAACAAGAGCAAAAAAUUUUGGAAGCAAUCUAAAUGUUCAAUAAUAGAGCUCCAAUUAAAUAACAAUAAAUCCAAAUAAUGAAAAAUAAUGCAGCCCUUUAAGAAUAAGCACUUGCAAGCCGUAAUUCAUGACAUGGGAAAAUUAUCAUAAUGGAAAAAGAAGCAAGCUAUAUAUAGUGCAUGAUC
Molecule: long non-coding RNA, 962 nt
Organism: Homo sapiens (human)
Lineage: Eukaryota; Metazoa; Chordata; Mammalia; Primates; Hominidae
Product: long independently transcribed non-coding RNA 3217
Exons: 3
Source: RefSeq, a predicted model, not a curated record